Molecule: ribosomal RNA, 856 nt
Filed under: Minimelanolocus submersus
Lineage: Eukaryota; Fungi; Ascomycota; Eurotiomycetes; Chaetothyriales; Herpotrichiellaceae
Description: partial large subunit ribosomal RNA
Rfam family: Eukaryotic large subunit ribosomal RNA
Source: RNAcentral
CCUCAGUAACGGCGAGUGAAGCGGCAACAGCUCAAAUUUGAAAUCUGGCCUCUUUGGGGUCCGAGUUGUAAUUUGUAGAGGAUGUUUCGGGUACCGCCUCGGUUUAAAUUUCUUGGAACAGAAUGUCAGAGAGGGUGAGAAUCCCGUCUUGGACCGGCGGUAGGGCCCAUGUGAAACUCCUUCGACGAGUCGAGUUGUUUGGGAAUGCAGCUCAAAAUGGGUGGUAAAUUUCAUCUAAAGCUAAAUAUUGGCCAGAGACCGAUAGCGCACAAGUAGAGUGAUCGAAAGAUGAAAAGCACUUUGAAAAGAGAGUUAAACAGUAUGUGAAAUUGUUGAAAGGGAAGCGCUUACAACCAGACUUGAGCGCGGCGGUUCCCCCUUCCUUUUGGUUGGGUUACUCCGCCGUGUCCAGGCCAACAUCGGUUCUGGGGGUCGGUCAAAGGCUUUGGGAAUGUACCUACCCUUCGGGCGUAGACUUAUAGCCCAGAGUGUCAUGCGGCCUCCCGGGACCGAGGAACGCGCUUCGGCUCGGAUGUUGGCGUAAUGGUUGUCAGCGACCCGUCUUGAAACACGGACCAAGGAGUCUAACAUCUAUGCGAGUGUUUGGGUGUCAAACCCGGAACGCGAAAUGAAAGUGAACGGAGGUAGGAAGCCGUGAGGCUGCACUAUCGACCGAUCCUGAUGUCUUCGGAUGGAUUUGAGUAAGAGCAUAGCUGUUGGGACCCGAAAGAUGGUGAACUAUGCCUGAAUAGGGUGAAGCCAGAGGAAACUCUGGUGGAGGCUCGCAGCGGUUCUGACGUGCAAAUCGAUCGUCAAAUUUAGGUAUAGGGGCGAAAGACUAAUCGAACAUCUUGGA